AUAAGAUGUAGCAUAAGACUAAUGCGUCUCGUUUACACUGAGAAUAUACUUAAAUCAAGUCGUCUUAAA
Molecule: transfer RNA, 69 nt
Filed under: Lampanella minima
Lineage: Eukaryota; Metazoa; Mollusca; Gastropoda; Potamididae
Description: tRNA-Val
Rfam family: tRNA
About the family: Transfer RNA (tRNA) molecules are approximately 80 nucleotides in length. Their secondary structure includes four short double-helical elements and three loops (D, anti-codon, and T loops). Further hydrogen bonds mediate the characteristic L-shaped molecular structure. tRNAs have two regions of fundamental functional importance: the anti-codon, which is responsible for specific mRNA codon recognition, and the 3' end, to which the tRNAs corresponding amino acid is attached (by aminoacyl-tRNA synthetases). tRNAs cope with the degeneracy of the genetic code in two manners: having more than one tRNA (with a specific anti-codon) for a particular amino acid; and 'wobble' base-pairing, i.e. permitting non-standard base-pairing at the 3rd anti-codon position.
Source: RNAcentral